This 350-nucleotide ribosomal RNA is filed under the name uncultured bacterium. Its description in RNAcentral is "bacterial SSU rRNA". It matches the Rfam family "Bacterial small subunit ribosomal RNA", at positions 917 to 1267 of the family's 1533-position model. The record is from RNAcentral.
GGGCCCGCACAAGCGGUGGAUUAUGUGGAUUAAUUCGAUGCAACGCGAAAAACCUUACCUGGCCUUGACAUGUACCGAAUUUAGCAGAGAUGCUUUAGUGCUCGUAAGAGAACGGUAACACAGGUGCUGCAUGGCUGUCGUCAGCUCGUGUCGUGAGAUGUUGGUUAAGUCCCGCAACGAGCGCAACCCUUGCCAUUAAUUGCCAUCAUUUAGUUGGGCACUUUAAUGGGACUGCCGGUGACAAACCGGAGGAAGGUGGGGAUGACGUCAAGUCCUCAUGGCCCUUAUGGCCAGGGCUUCACACGUAAUACAAUGGGAGAUACAGACGGUUGCUAAAGCGCGAGCUGGAG